Molecule: long non-coding RNA, 1186 nt
Filed under: Androctonus crassicauda
Lineage: Eukaryota; Metazoa; Arthropoda; Arachnida; Scorpiones; Buthidae
Source: RNAcentral
CUCAACGGCAGCCGUCAACUGUGAUCGUUCGGGUCGAACAUUUGCACAAUAAGGUGAGUAAACAAAGAUUUUUAUGUUGCUUAGCAACUCUUUUAAUGCACUUGGUUCGAAUACUGUCUCCAUUAAUACUUUUAGAAGUAUUUCCAGAAAAUUUUUUGACCGAAGGCAAAAUCUAUGGUUCGCAACAAAAUGGCCGUUACCUCUUACAACAUCAGCCUUGAGCCUGAAGUCUCAUCGCUUAUAUAAUCAUAGAUUUGCAGUGCGAUAUUCGCAUUUAGGUUAUUUUGAAAGAUUCUUGGGUAGCUUUCUGAACAUUUUAAACCAAAUACGGUGCAUAUUUGUUGCUUGGACCUGUUCCAGGUCGUGAGCCUAGCAAUGGUGGACAUUGUUGUUGUUUUCAGCCUUCUUCAUGGUUCGGAAGGGAAAAGAUGGCGGACUCUCCAACACUUCGCUCGGAAAUAAAACAGGCUGAGGUGCCCAUUAAUGAUUAAGAAUGGAAAUAUUGAAGCACAUGCAACAUGCAUUGAUACUUAUUGAUGUUAUACAUUGUUAAUUGUUUAAAUUUGAAUUAUUUAUAAUUCUUUUAAUUGGAAAGCAUUAAAGAAAGACAAAAUGGCGACUCCAUUAACGCGAUUUUGGGUGUGGCCACAAUUUGAGCCUUUUAAGUUUUUUUUUUUAUUAUUAAAAUCCAUACUGCUUUUAAUAAAUAUUUUAAUGAAAUUAUACUAAAACUGUUUUAAAUUUUUAAAUUAAACUUUUAAAAUUAUUUGAAUUCAAUAUGAUUGUAAUAAGAUAUUAAGUUUUAUAGCGAAUUUAAUUUUAAAAGAAACCGGGAAAUAAUUAUACUAUAUUGACAGUUGCCUUAUUUAUUUGAAUGUAUCUAUACUAGAAAUUCUCUUAACCAUGAAUUAAGUUGAAAUAAAUAGGCUAAAAUAGAGAUACCUAAUUAUUAAAUUUGUUAUUAGAUUUUAAUUUUGUUUUGUGUAAAUAAUAACCAAGAAUAAAAUUUGAAAUAGAUACAAAAUGUAAUUAGACGGUAAUGCAUUAUCUUAACUAUUCUAAAAAAAUUGCAUUGAACGUUGCAUCAAAAAUAUAAGUUGAUAUACAUCAAUAAGUAUCCUAUUAGUAGCAUUCCAAUUAAUAUUCUAUAAUCUGCUAUAAAAUGGAAUUUCUAAAAAAAUUAUAG